Molecule: ribosomal RNA, 253 nt
Filed under: uncultured bacterium
Lineage: Bacteria
Description: partial 16S ribosomal RNA
Rfam family: Bacterial small subunit ribosomal RNA
Source: RNAcentral
CACGUAGGGUGCGAGCGUUGUCCGGAAUUAUCGGGCGUAAAGAGCUCGUAGGCGGUGUGUCGCGUCGGCCGUGAAAACCAGCAGCUCAACUGCUGGCUUGCAGGCGAUACGGGCAGACUUGAGUACUGCAGGGGAGACUGGAAUUCCUGGUGUAGCGGUGAAAUGCGCAGAUAUCAGGAGGAACACCGGUGGCGAAGGCGGGUCCCUGGGCAGUAACUGACGCUGAGGAGCGAAAGCGUGGGGAGCGAACAGG